UGAGGAAUAUUGGUCAAUGGGCGGAAGCCUGAACCAGCCAAGUCGCGUGAGGGAAGACGGUCCUAUGGAUUGUAAACCUCUUUUGCCGGGGAGCAAGGCACCUCUCGGUGAGAGAUGUCGGAGAGUACCCGGAGAAAAAUGCAUCGGCUAACUCCGUGCCAGCAGCCGCGGUAAUACGGAGGAUGCGAGCGUUAUCCGGAUUUAUUGGGUUUAAAGGGUGCGUAGGCGGAUUUCUAAGUCAGCGGUCAAAUGUCGGGGCUCAACCCCGGCCUGCCGUUGAAACUGGAGGUCUUGAGUGGGCGAGAAGUAUGCGGAAUGCGUGGUGUAGCGGUGAAAUGCAUAGAUAUCACGCAGAACUCCGAUUGCGAAGGCAGCAUACCGGCGCCCGACUGACGCUGAGGCACGAAAGCGUGGGUAUCGAACAGGAUUAGAUACC
RNAcentral lists this ribosomal RNA (436 nucleotides) under uncultured bacterium. RNAcentral's name for it is "bacterial SSU rRNA". It matches the Rfam family "Bacterial small subunit ribosomal RNA", at positions 355 to 786 of the family's 1533-position model. The record is from RNAcentral.